This 3932-nucleotide long non-coding RNA is filed under the name Mus musculus (house mouse). Its description in RNAcentral is "long non-coding RNA chr14:31045481-31049413". The record is from RNAcentral. Lineage: Eukaryota; Metazoa; Chordata; Mammalia; Rodentia; Muridae.
UUAGCCAGAGGCGAUCUUAAAGUAUUAUCUUUAGGUUUUAAGGAGGAUGUGCCAAGUACUUAAAAAGAUUGAGGCAAGAGCUGAGCAUAGUGAUGUAUACCCGUAAUUCCAGCAGUUGAAAAACUGAGGCAGGAAGAUUGUCAGUUCAAGGCCAGUCUGGGUUAUAUAGCAAAAUCCUGUCAAAAAGUAACCACACGUAAGUUAAGGUUCUAUGGUAGACCUUUCCUCACCUCACAGAUAGCACUUAAGCAUUAUUAAGUAGUGUUUAACGUUACAAAUAAGAUGUGGUAUUUUUAUAAUAGAACCUGUUACUGAAAAUUCGAGUGUUUUAGACGACAAUAAUGAAACCCUUACUUUACAUAAAAUAUGGAGUAGUGUACCUCAUUUAAGUGAAAAACAAAUUGUAGUAGUCUACUCUAUCUCUCUGCUACCAUUUUCUCCUUUUUAAGGUUUUAUGUAUAUGAGUGUUUUGCCUGCAUGUAUGUCUGUGCACUAUGUGAGUACAGUGCCUGUGGAGGCCAGAUAUGACUUCAGUGUCAUAUCUAUUGACACUGAAGUUACAGAUAACUGUGAGCUGCCCUUUGGGUGCUAAGAAUCACACUCAGUCUCUCUGGAUGGGCAGUCAGUGUUCUUAACUGCUGAGCCAUCGCUUCAGCCUCAACUUUUCUUUUUUGAGAAGAACAAAAAUCUCACUUUUCUUUGCUAAGACUAUGAGGAGUAUUAUAUAUUAAGGAGGCAGUUAAUAGGAAUUAUUUUUCCUUGUAUUAGCACAUUUUAACUGUUCCUAUGUCAUUAAGGUAUGCAAAUCAUAACAGUGUUCUGUUUUCUAAUUGCUUGUUUUUCUUUAUAGUAAUAAAAGAGCAGUCCAAGGGGGUCGCUUGUCAGCAAUUACCAUGGCACUUCAGUAUGGAUCAGAGAGUGAAGAGGACGCUGCUUUAGCUGGUAGGCAUUUUUAGAUUGAGGUCCUUCUGGCUGAGGGAAAUUGCACCAACUUUGGUCUUGGAGUUGGUUAGUUUUUUUAAGAAAUGUUAUUUUGUUGCAUUGAUGCAAUCUUGGGUAAAUAAAUUGUCAAAGGCAAAUUGUUCUCUGUUAAUGAACAUAAUUGGAUAAACAGAAAAUGCGAACAUAAAAGAGUAGAUAAAGAUAUAUAUCAGGUAAGAGGCUAGAGAAACUGCUCAACCAUGAUAGGGGUUCAGUUUCCACCAUCUACAUGGCACCUAACAACCCUUUGUAACUCGAGUUCCAAGAGACCUGGCACCCUUUCCUGGCUUCUGUAGGCACUGCAUGCAUAUGCUGUACAGGCACAAGCACUCACAUAAAAUAAAAAGAACUUUAUUUUUUUUAAACAAUGUAUCAGGCGAAUAAUAACCAAGAAGAAAUAAAUCACCAAAGAGUAAAGACUAGCUGUAGCUAUAUUGACUUCUGAUAAAGUUAGCUCUCACGUACAGAUAGUGACAGAUAACAUUAGGUCACAGUGAUAAAGGUUUGUUUCCUUGCAAAGGUGUAAUAUAAGAGCUCCAAGUAUGAAAAACAACAACAAAACAUAUGGAUCUUUGUGUGAAACUUGAAAAUACUGUCUUUGGAAGUUAAAGGGCCCCUCUCACAGUCACUAAAUGAGCAGAUGGUAGCUGUGGAUUCAUUAACUAUGGCACUAGCAGUGUACUAGGCAUUGAACCCAGGGCUACAUUCAUCCUAGACUAAGCGCCAACACUGAGCAGCAUCCCCAGCCCUUGUACAGACUUCUUUGUAUUACUUUGCUUCCUAUUGUUGAAGCAAGUUACCAUAUUUUUACUGAUUUAGAGCAACAUUAUUUUAUUUUCUUGUAGUUGUGGAGCUCGGGUAUCUAAAGUCAAGGUGGUGAGUAGGCCACUAAGAUAUAGGAAAAUCCAUUCCUCCAUUUCUCUGGCUUCUAGAGGCCUCCUGUAUGUCCUUUGGUUCAUAGUCCCUUCUUCCAAGUUCACAAUGUAGCCUUGGUAUUUAUUAUCCGUUCUUCCUGACUCUUUGGUUGUAGUGUGCUUGUCAUUCUUUUUCUUUUUUAAAAAGAUUUAUUUGUUUAAUGUAUAUGAGUACACUGUAGCUGUCUUCAGACACACCAGAAGAAGGCAUCGCAUUCCAUUACAUUAGUGAGGCACCAUGUGGUUACUGGGAAUUGAACUCAGGACCUCUGGAAAAGCAGUCAGUGCUCUUUAAUCACUGAACCAUCUCUCCAGCCCCACGUCCUUUUCAUUAUUUUUAAGAGCCGACUUAAUCCACUUUCACCUUCUUAAGACAAGAUUGUUACUAAAAUUUACAAAGUUCUUUUUAUGACAUAGGUAACAUUUACAGGUUCUGUGGAUUGGAACAUUGAUGUGUUCUAGUGCUUAUUACACAUAGCAGGCUUGAUAUGUACAUUCUGUACUUAGAAAAUAUAUAUUUCUCCCCAGUUCACAGUUAUCAAAAUUGACUUUAUCUACUGAGCUUGACAUAAAUUUCAGUAAAUUUGAACAGUUCAGAAUUAUAUACUGCAUCUUUUUGAUAUUAUAAGAUAACAACUAAUAAAGAAAAGAUAAAGUUUAAAAACCUUACUGGGGACCAGGCAUGUACCUCAGUUGGUAAGAGCACUUGCCAUACAUGCAUAAAACCCUGGUUUUGAUCCCUAGUACCUCAUAAAACUGGCUCUGGUGGUACAUGUAAUUUGAGCACUCUAGACAUAGAAGCAGAAGGAUCAGAAAGUUAAGAUGAACCUCAGCUUUAAGGGAAACCCUUUUCUAGUCUCUUCAGGCACCUGUACACACGUGCACGUGCAUGAGUGUGUGUGUGUGUACAAAUACAUCUUUAGAUAAAUGAGAAGCAUGGGUUUUAUAUUUCUAUAAAAAUCACUAUUUGUUGUGUUCUGGUAUUUCUAUGACUUAGCUUCUACCUGAAUACUUCCUCAUUAAGGAAUUGUUCCUCUCAUGUUAUAGAUGAAAGGGACAAAGUGAGACUUCAUGCUGAAUUAUGUCUGAGAGUGUCAGCCUAAUCUAAGUUUAUACUGAGAGUGGUAAAUGUGUUGGUCUUCUAUUUUUCUAACAUUUUUGUUUCGCUCACAAUUUUGGAAGUUCUAGUCUGUGAUCAGUUAGACCUGUUUCUCGUAGUCUAUGGCAAAGUGUUAUUCAUUUUACAUACUAGGGGCUAUGGUAGAGCAAAACCUUCUCCCUGGUGUUGGGUAAGUGAAAUGAAAACAGAAAUAGGUCUCAUUACCUCCUUCAGAUGCAUCACCAUCUCCCACCCCAUGCCCAAGACUCCCACUAAUGCACACCUUUAGUUUCUCCCACCUCUCAAUAAUGCCACUCUGAGGAAGAUGAUUUUUAACACAGGAGACUUUUGGGUGGGGUGUGAUUACAGAUCCUGGCUGUAGCAAUGAACUUCAUGCUUCUGUAUUAGUUCUGAGCUCUCUGAAUAACUACUUGUUCCUUUUGGCUAAACAUAGCAGGAAAUCUGAAGAAAACAUUUUUUAAAAAUAAACUAUUUUUUAGUCUUUUAGCUGAGUGUAACUUUUGAAUUUAAUAUUUCUAGAUAUUUUUCUGUUACAUGCAAUUAUACUAAAUACUUUUUAGAUUUAUUUUUUGUUUAUGUGUCUGUGUGAAUGUAUAGUGAGUGUUUGCUAUGCCUAUGAAGGGAACCAGAAAUCCGAUCCUCUGGAGCUGUAAUACAGGUUCUCAACUGCCCAGUGUGGGUUCUGGGAAACGAAUUCACAGUCUCGGAAACAGCAGCAAGCAUUCUUAACUGAGCCAUCUCUCGAGUACCUACUCUAAUCAUGUUUAACAUUGUCUUUAAGGAAAAUUAGAGAUCUUUUAAAAUCAUCUUCAAAGCUGUGCAUAGUUGUAUGUGCCCAAAACACUAGCACUUUAGGAGGUAGAUGCUUUUCCUGUAAGCUGGAAGCCAACCAAGUCUAUACAGUGAAACCAUUACUC